AAUUUGACAUGUUGUAGUUUGGAUAAGAUGGUGAAGGAUGUGGAAGAUAAAAAUAUAUUUUUAACUUGAAAAUUGUGUCUUGGUAGAUAUGCGGUAAUCUCGUGUGCUUUCUUUACAUGACUUGAGAAUCCUACUUUUUGUGUGAGUCGAUAGAGGGGUAUGUGUCGUUGACCCUUGUGAUGGAAAGUUCUUGAUGGUUCUUUAAAGGAUGAUUUUCUAUAAAUGAUUAUUUCUUUCG
This 238-nucleotide long non-coding RNA is filed under the name Lathyrus oleraceus (garden pea). Its description in RNAcentral is "Pisum sativum (pea) long non-coding RNA (PSAT_LNC019209)". Lineage: Eukaryota; Viridiplantae; Streptophyta; Magnoliopsida; Fabales; Fabaceae. The record is from RNAcentral.